This 1249-nucleotide long non-coding RNA is filed under the name Nicotiana benthamiana. RNAcentral's name for it is "long non-coding RNA (NBEN_LNC026671)". The record is from RNAcentral. Lineage: Eukaryota; Viridiplantae; Streptophyta; Magnoliopsida; Solanales; Solanaceae.
UGCCAUUUUUAGUUUGUAAAAACAAGGAAGUGACUUUUUAUGAUCUAGAAAGAACAAUAGUUUCAACUAAAAAACUUCCCACAGACCGCGCCAAAUUGUUUGAGAAAAUAAUUGCUAAACUAAUUAUUAGUAAGAUAAUGUGGUGAAUCUUAGUUGAGCUUAAUAAAUCCUAGAUCAAAUAAAAUGAGUUUCUUAUAUAGUGAGAAGAGUUAAGAGCAUUAAUUAAUGAGUUCAAUAUACUAAGAUUGAUGAAAAAUGUAAUAUCAUAAUUGUACAAUAACUGCAAGAAACGAUAAUGAUUAUAGCAUAAAGGAACUUUCACCCAAUGAUUGCAUGAUUGGGUGGUUUUUCCUUCUAAAAAUUUGAAAAGAUAUGCAGUUGAUAUGAAUGUGGAAUCUAUGGGAUUUAUGGAUAGAAGUUGUACAACAUGUGCUUGAAUAAAGUGGACUAGACAAUUCUUUCUUAUGUUCUUCUCUCAACUGUACAAUAUGACUCUUGGUUCCCAAAAUGGCAGAUCCCUUUCUUGUUCACUAUCUCUUCCUAUUUAUAAGGGACAUUUCACAAAAGACCCCAAUAAGUACAAUAUAAAGAAUAUCCAAAAGAAUAUUCUUCCUAUCUCUUCCUAAGUUUAUGUUACCGUUAUUAUCUUCUCCUAGUUGUCCGCUUCUGGCCGUCGGCCUUUAUCAUAAUGAUCGUCAGUCGCUGUGUUGUGGUCGACCCCGUCGUGUUUUCCAAAUUUGGACCUAUACAAUUUAUAGCUCCAAAUAACUAUACAGAAAACAACAUUAGACUGAGCAAACAAGAUCCAGUUCUAUAUGCCUCAGUAAAGCCUUCUACUGCCUCACACACUUUCAAGCUAUUCAACUUUUGCUGGAUUCACAUUCUUUACAGGGUUGUAAUUCAAUUUUUGUUUGUAAAUAGCCAACCUGGGGGAUAAGCUCGUUCAGAAAUAGACCUCCUGAAUGAUAAAUCGAACAGUGAUUUCUGUUGCAUUCUUUAUACCUUGCCACAACAAUAGUUUCUUCAAAAUAGUUCUAGCCACCUCACAUCCAAAAAAAGAGAUGUCGGAUGGUCUCAUUUGCUCUAGAGCGCACAAGGGACAUAGUAAAUCAGUGGCGAUGCCCCAUUGGGAAAUUCUGUCCUUUGUUGCCAAUCUACCACACACAACUAAGCGCAAUAUAAAGAUCCAUUUAUCAGCUGUCUGGUUGUUGCGUAUGAGUUUCCUCCAUGACACAAUUUGAAAGCCCCC